UACGAAGGGGGCUAGCGUUGUUCGGAAUUACUGGGCGUAAAGCGUAUGCAGGUGGAUCGUUAAGUCGGGGGUGAAAUCCCGAGGCUCAACCUCGGAACUGCCUUCGAUACUGGCGAUCUUCGAGUCCGGGAGAGGUGAGUGGAACUCCGAGUGUAGAGGUGAAAUUCGUAGAUAUUCGGAAGAACACCAGUGGCGAAGGCGGCUCACUGGCCCGGUACUGACGCUGAGAUACGAAAGCGUGGGGAGCAAACAGG
Molecule: ribosomal RNA, 254 nt
Filed under: uncultured bacterium
Lineage: Bacteria
Description: partial 16S ribosomal RNA
Rfam family: Bacterial small subunit ribosomal RNA
Source: RNAcentral